Molecule: long non-coding RNA, 536 nt
Organism: Calidris pugnax (ruff)
Lineage: Eukaryota; Metazoa; Chordata; Aves; Charadriiformes; Scolopacidae
Exons: 4
Source: RefSeq, a predicted model, not a curated record
UGGGUCUGAAGCAUUUCGACAUGCAGCUGCGUGGACAAGUCGGCCCCAGGAGCCAGUCCAGCUCCAGGUUCCCACCCAGCAAGGUAUCUCCCAUCACACAGUGAAGCAGCAGCUGAAGGUUGUCCUCACCCACUGCAGUGCCUCAGCUUACCAUAGGCUCCUUUGGCAUAGCAGGAAGAAAACCUGGCUUUAGAAGAGGCGUUCAGACAGGAAGCAGCAAUGUUCCAGGAGGAUUUCUGAGUGAAACGGGAGAGCAACUGGCUUCUCGAAGCGGAUAUUUCAGAGAUCCCUGAAUCAUGCUGCUGCACAGUUGGAGCAGUCAGGACCGAAGAACCAACACCCCGGGGUACCUGGACUUCCCCAGCACUUGCACACUGUGUUGGAGCUGAGCUGCACAAGCCUCUUUGGAGUGGAAGGAGAAAUCCCCAUGCUCUGGCUCAUGGGACAUCUCUGGGACCACAUGUACUUAGAUAACAGAAGAGCACAACUGGCUCAAGAACUCAAGAACGACAACGUGCUACAACGACGGCAGUGAG